This is a small nuclear RNA of Ochotona curzoniae (black-lipped pika), 103 nucleotides long. Lineage: Eukaryota; Metazoa; Chordata; Mammalia; Lagomorpha; Ochotonidae. The record is from RefSeq and is a predicted model, not a curated record.
GUGCUUGCUUCGGCAGCACAUAUACUAAAAUUGGAACGAUGCAGAGAUUAGCAUGGCCCCUGCGCAAGGAUGAAAACAAGGUAUUUUGAUUUUACACAGUAAU